ACUUCUGAAAAUUGAAGAAAGUGGGCAGCUGCUUGUGAAGUCCUCUGAUUCAGAAAGGAGCUCAAGUACUGUCGUUACCAAGUCCCACUCGUGACAGCUCUCUCUGUUUGUAGGCUCACAGUUUACACACCUGCUCCACCAGCUUUUAUUUUUAGAAACCUUCGAUGUGCUCGGCCUGAAGUGUUGCCCCUCAGUUUCAGCUCAGACCACACUGUGCUGUGUCUUCCUGUCAGAGAUGUGACCGACGAUGACCACCACGAGGAAGACAGUCACGCCACCCAGGAUCAUACUCGCCAGUGGAGCUACCCCAUCACACCCCUCUACAAAGAGAUCAUCAUUUUCCUUACAGAGACUUCUUUAUAGAGCUUUACAAAUAUUUAGACAUCAGACGAUUGUGCAAUGAGAGAAAUCUUUAGAGGAAUCUUACUUGUAUGCUCGCUGUCUGUGUCAUCAUGUGCAUCACUGCUGCCUAUUAAAGACAUUGUUACAUA
Long non-coding RNA from Notolabrus celidotus (New Zealand spotty), 491 nucleotides. RefSeq lists it as uncharacterized. The transcript has 3 exons. The record is from RefSeq and is a predicted model, not a curated record. Lineage: Eukaryota; Metazoa; Chordata; Actinopteri; Labriformes; Labridae.